CUCCUCCUCUUCUUCUUCCUCCUCUUCAAAAGCCGACACAGGAAAAGACCUAGAAAGUCCAGUAGGGGUAGCAAAGUUAAUCUUCUUACACUCCGGAUCGGAAAUUGAAAUAUCAGAAAUCGUAACCCAGAUGAGGAUCUCCUUGCUCUUUACGCCGGUGAGCUUCUUCAUCCGGCGAUUCUCCACAAACGCCGUCACCUCAGUAUCGUACCAGACGAGCUUCCCGAUCUUCUUAUACUUGUGCUCUUUCGCCUUCUUCUGUUUCAGCCACACGAAUCCGGUUUCGGCGUUGCGGCCGACUUCUACAAUGUCUUCAAGUGGGAGAAGACCAUUAGGCAUGUUGAUUUCCUUCAGGAGUUCAAGUGAUUUCUGCUUGCAAACCACCGGAUCUGUGUAAAUUUCGGCAUUUUCACGGUGGCUUGCGAUUACUUGAGACAUGUUUUUUCCGAUUUCACAGAGAUUUGAAUUUUUUUUAAGCGAUUUGAGGAGGGUGAGGAUUGUAA
Molecule: unclassified non-coding RNA, 503 nt
Filed under: Hevea brasiliensis (rubber tree)
Lineage: Eukaryota; Viridiplantae; Streptophyta; Magnoliopsida; Malpighiales; Euphorbiaceae
Source: RNAcentral